CGCCCUUCAUCAAGGACCCGUCCGCAUCGCAGCCAUUUUCUUCUCCGUCUCAGCAUCCAGCGUCCGUCUGCAGCUCCUCCGCCUCUGCUUCCGCUCGUGACGCAUCCGAAUCCAAUCCCAGCUUCCUGCGAUCCAGCCUCCACCGCGUCCGUGAUCAAUUCCCUCCGCGAUCCGCCCAACGAGCCCGCGAUCCACUUCUUUUGCCCGUUCCAGCCGCUCGUGAAGCCAGCCAAUCUUCCAUUCCCAGCACCCAGCAGCCAAGAUUCACAGCCGGUGCUCCCAUCCACACUUCACCAAAUAAUGAAGGGAGAUCCUCCGAAGCUCUUCACCCGGAUCCACGCCUUCCUCCCGCUUCCAAUCCGGCGUUCAUGAAGCUUCCGCCCGUGAUCCAGCUCCUUCCGUCCGACUACAAGCGUGAUCCCAGCUCUCUUCCGAUUCAAAAUUCCCAGCAAUCCCGUCCGCACUCAUCUUCCGCAUCCGCAAUCAGCUCGUGAUCCAUCCAUUCUCCUACGGAUUCAUGUCCUUCCACGAUCUGCCCUCUCGUAUCAUGCCCCGGAAUCUCAGCUGCCCGUGAUCCAUUCUGCCAUUCCGGAUGAAGCAUCCCGGAUGAUCCUCUCCACGCAAUCAAUCCAUCAUUGGCCACGAAGGGGAUAGGCGAUCUAUAAAAGGAGGCUCUCGGUUGGGAGAAGGGAGGGGGAGGAGGCCAUCGGCUGGGAGAAGAAAGCUCGAUUUUGGGGAAGAGAAGAAAGCUCGGUUUGGGAGAGAAGAAAGAAAGAAAAAAGAAAAAAAACAGAGUAUGCUCUGUUUUAAAGAAAAGAGGAAUAAAAAAUUAGAGGGAGGGGCGAGGCAGUGUUGUUUUUAGUUUUAGUUUUAUUAAAAUAAUUAAUUGAGAGUUUUAUUUUGGUGGAGAGUUUUACUUUUAAGAUUUUUUUUAUGCUGCAAUUUUAAUUUCUACUCUUUUAUUCUGUUCUGCAGAUUCUGUAAUUUUUC
Molecule: long non-coding RNA, 990 nt
Filed under: Phoenix dactylifera (date palm)
Lineage: Eukaryota; Viridiplantae; Streptophyta; Magnoliopsida; Arecales; Arecaceae
Description: long non-coding RNA (PDAC_LNC010398)
Source: RNAcentral